CGGUCGCCACCUGAGUUCAGAGGCUGGAAUUCUCUAUCCUAUAUAACGUCGAUUUUUACAAAAAUAUAGAACUUUAU
RNAcentral lists this transfer RNA (77 nucleotides) under Pararhodospirillum photometricum DSM 122. RNAcentral describes it as "tRNA-Met". Lineage: Bacteria; Pseudomonadati; Pseudomonadota; Alphaproteobacteria; Rhodospirillales; Rhodospirillaceae. The record is from RNAcentral.